This 503-nucleotide ribosomal RNA is filed under the name uncultured Glomus. Its description in RNAcentral is "SSU rRNA". It matches the Rfam family "Eukaryotic small subunit ribosomal RNA", at positions 569 to 1077 of the family's 1831-position model. Lineage: Eukaryota; Fungi; Glomeromycota; Glomeromycetes; Glomerales; Glomeraceae. The record is from RNAcentral.
AGCAGCCGCGGUAAUUCCAGCUCCAAUAGCGUAUAUUAAAGUUGCUGCAGUUAAAAAGCUCGUAGUUGAAUUUCGGGACCAAUAUGUCGGCCGUGCCUCGGUACGUACUGGCAUCGUUGGUUUCUCCCUUCUGAAGAACCAUGAUGUCAUUCAUUUGGUGUCGUGGGGAAUCAGGACUGUUACUUUGAAAAAAUUAGAGUGUUUAAAGCAGGCUCACGCUUGAAUACAUUAGCAUGGAAUAAUGAAAUAGGACGUUUGAUUCUAUUUUGUUGGUUUCUAGGAUCGACGUAAUGAUUAAUAGGGAUAGUUGGGGGCAUUAGUAUUCAAUUGUCAGAGGUGAAAUUCUUGGAUUUAUUGAAGACUAACUACUGCGAAAGCAUUUGCCAAGGAUGUUUUCAUUAAUCAAGAACGAAAGUUAGAGGUUCGAAGGCGAUCAGAUACCGCCCUAGUUCUAACCAUAAACGAUGUCGACUGGCGAUCCGCUGUCGUUAACUGAAUGACUC